GGGAUAUUUUGUACAUGGUUGUACAGUUUGAUUGCAGAUCAGAAUAAUGAGGUUCGAUUCCUCAAUAUCCCU
RNAcentral lists this transfer RNA (72 nucleotides) under Usnea subgracilis. Its description in RNAcentral is "tRNA-Cys". It matches the Rfam family "tRNA". Rfam says of the family: Transfer RNA (tRNA) molecules are approximately 80 nucleotides in length. Their secondary structure includes four short double-helical elements and three loops (D, anti-codon, and T loops). Further hydrogen bonds mediate the characteristic L-shaped molecular structure. tRNAs have two regions of fundamental functional importance: the anti-codon, which is responsible for specific mRNA codon recognition, and the 3' end, to which the tRNAs corresponding amino acid is attached (by aminoacyl-tRNA synthetases). tRNAs cope with the degeneracy of the genetic code in two manners: having more than one tRNA (with a specific anti-codon) for a particular amino acid; and 'wobble' base-pairing, i.e. permitting non-standard base-pairing at the 3rd anti-codon position. Lineage: Eukaryota; Fungi; Ascomycota; Lecanoromycetes; Lecanorales; Parmeliaceae. The record is from RNAcentral.